CCUACGGGCGGCAGCAGUGGGGGAUAUUGCACAAUGGGGGAAACCCUGAUGCAGCGACGCCGCGUGGGCGAAGAAGUAUUUCGGUAUGUAAAGCCCUAUCAGCAGGGAAGAAGAAAUGACGGUACCUGAGUAAGAAGCACCGGCUAAAUACGUGCCAGCAGCCGCGGUAAUACGUAUGGUGCAAGCGUUAUCCGGAUUUACUGGGUGUAAAGGGAGCGCAGGGGGCACGGCAAGCCUGAUGUGAAAGCCCGCGGCCCAACCGCGGGACUGCAUUGGGAACUACCGGGCUGGAGUGCCGGAGAGGUAGGCGGAAUUCCUAGUGUAGCGGUGAAAUGCGUAGAUAUUAGGAGGAACACCAGUGGCGAAGGCGGCCUACUGGACGGUGACUGACGCUGAGGCUCGAAAGCGUGGGGUGCAAACAGGAUUAGAUACCCUUGUAGUC
This 442-nucleotide ribosomal RNA is filed under the name uncultured bacterium. RNAcentral describes it as "partial 16S ribosomal RNA". It matches the Rfam family "Bacterial small subunit ribosomal RNA", at positions 338 to 795 of the family's 1533-position model. The record is from RNAcentral.